UCCAAAUUUAAACAUUGACUGUCACGUGUCACAUCCUGGUUGGACAUGAAAAGAUGCGUCCAAGAAUCCAUUAUAACAUUUUUCUAUUCAUUGUCCGAUCAGAACAUGACAUGUGACCGUCAAUGUAC
Glycine soja is the source of this 128-nucleotide non-coding RNA. The record is from Rfam. Lineage: Eukaryota; Viridiplantae; Streptophyta; Magnoliopsida; Fabales; Fabaceae.